UGCAUCGCCCCCACCGCUUCGCCUCAAUUGGCACCAGCGCAGGCCACCCCGCCGCUCGACCUCGACUCGCACCAGAGGCGACCACCACCAUCCUCGCUGCUCCCUACCCUCCCCCAGCCCGAUAUGGAUGCCUAACCCGCGGGAACGGGCAGGCGGACGGCGGGCGAUGUGAGGCGCGGUGGCGGCACGAGGAAGAUGGGCAGAUCCGGGCAUGGCGUUGACCGAUCUGGUGGCUGGUGCGCGGCUUGUUCCGGUCCCAAUGACAUCCUGCUCAUCCAUAGAAGGAGAGAGAAGGGCCCGAGGGAGAGAGGAAACAGAUGAAGAAAGGAGAAGGGGCAUACGCAGGGUGAGGGAGGAAGUCGCCGGCGGUGGCGGCUCCGGUGACUGGCCGACGGGCUUGCUAGGCAAGGCUAAGGAGUACGCUAGCCUGAGAUUCGAUAGAGCAUGAAUUGAAUGAAUUUUGCACCACGGGGAAGAAGUUGUGGUGGCGGCGAAUUAUGUAGCCAUUGUCUCUCACGACUGCCGGCCCCUGCUCGCGACAUCUCUACUGAAGCCGCCUCUGCCUACUCUGGUGUGUUGCAGCUCCUUACUCUAGCCACAUGUCACUUGCUCUCCCGCUAGCCUCUGCCUGCUCUGGUCUCGAAGUUGAUGACACCCUGAUGCAAAGCUUCCACAAUCAUCCGCUCCGUCUCAGCAGGAGGAGAGCAAUGGAAAUAACACCCCGUCGCGGUCCUGGUGCUUCUCUCCGUGGGUUCGCUUGCUCACCUCGGCGUUUGCGGCUUCUACAGGUACGUACUAGACAACUACCCAUUGUUUUUGUUUUCUAUUGACAGUUUGAUCGCUUCAUCAAUCCUUCUAGAGGGUCUUGACAGGAAGGACUGAGCAGCCAUUGUGCUGGAGUAGACUGUGUGACAGGUUUUUUCCUCUCUCUCCUACCCGUGAUUGGUUUCUUUGGUGAAGAAAGCAUCACUGUCUUUCAAUACAUCAUGGAUGCUCAACCUGUAUGUCUACAUGGUACAAGAAUGAAUAUUAACCAUUCAAUCUAUUGAUUCAGAGUGAGACAAGGGUGAAACAGAAUAAGCUCAUUUUUGUGAUGAGUUCCCUAGGCCCCAGAAGGCCAGAACUAGCAUUUUAAUUACAAAAUUCAGUUUUUGAUCACGUUAUUUCAGUUUCAUUAUAGACCUUAUAAUAUUUUUUAUGGAUUAAUAUAAGGUUUAUAAUAUUUUGUGGAGCAAUCAGUUGUGCAUAGAAAAGAGCUCACCUAAAUUAAUGACAUGUUCAUCUUAUCUUCGAUUAAAAAAUUUGCCCCCUAAUAUUCAAUUCUACUGAGAGUUGUAGAAGGCAAAAAUCCAGCAAAUUAACUCAAGUAAGUGUUUUUGUUAUUUCCCAAUGUAAUUAAAAAAUUUCUUCUCAAAAU
Triticum dicoccoides is the source of this 1417-nucleotide long non-coding RNA. RefSeq lists it as uncharacterized. Lineage: Eukaryota; Viridiplantae; Streptophyta; Magnoliopsida; Poales; Poaceae. The transcript is spliced from 3 exons. The record is from RefSeq and is a predicted model, not a curated record.